This 433-nucleotide ribosomal RNA is filed under the name uncultured bacterium. RNAcentral describes it as "partial 16S ribosomal RNA". It matches the Rfam family "Bacterial small subunit ribosomal RNA", at positions 29 to 507 of the family's 1533-position model. The record is from RNAcentral.
AACGAACGCUGGCGGCAUGCCUAACAUAUGCAAGUCGAACGAGACCUUCGGGUCUAGUGGCGCACGGGUGCGUAACGCGUGGGAACCUGCCCUUAGGUUCGGAAUAACUCCCCGAAAGGGGUGCUAAUACCGGAUAAUGUCUUCGGACCAAAGAUUUAUCGCCUUUGGAUGGGCCCGCGUUGGAUUAGCUAGUUGGUAGGGUAAAAGCCUACCAAGGCGACGAUCCAUAGCUGGUCUGAGAGGAUGAUCAGCCACACUGGGACUGAGACACGGCCCAGACUCCUACGGGAGGCAGCAGUGGGGAAUAUUGGACAAUGGGCGAAAGCCUGAUCCAGCAAUGCCGCGUGAGUGGUGAAGGCCUUAGGGUUGUAAAGCUCUUUUACCCGGGAUGAUAAUGACAGUACCGGGAGAAUAAGCUCCGGCUAACUCCGUG